ACGGACAGGGAGGACUCCGUCUCCUGGCGUUGGACUACAAAUGAAAUCUACUACGCGGCUUCGACAUAUACAGCCCAAUUCUCUGGCUCCUUCCCCAGGUUCUCGCCGACGAAGAUUUGGGAGGCACACGCGGAACCCAAAUGCAAGCUCUUUUCCUGGCUGGUGCUCCAUGGAAAAAUCCUCACGGCCGACAUGCUCGCUAUUCGCAGAUGGCCGCACGAUCCUACAUGCCCGCUGUGUCUGGGAGCACCGGAGACGGCAAUUCACCUCUGCAAGGACUGCCCAUUUGCGAUUGCGGUUUGGUCGCAUGUUCAGGCAUGGACCGGGGAGGCGCCAACGAACAUGAUGACAAUUCCGCCUCCCAUGGGAGUCUCCGACUGGUGGGAUCGGCUCAUCUAUCCCCUGUCCAAGGACGAAAGACACCGGUGUAGCGGUCACUUCCUCUACACCAUCUGGAAUAUCUGGAAGGAGCGCAACCGCCGGAUAUUCAUCGGCACCCGCCUCACUCACCUGGAGGUGGCGGCCAUCGCGCUCGACGACAUAAGAAUGCGGGCUUGCGCCUUUGGCAGGGCACAAGUGGCGACCGGCAUAGCAUACCACAACGGUUCUUAUAAGGGUUUUGUCAGGUUUCCCUGGAAAAACCUAUCACCUUUGUACAUAAACCCUCUUUUUCGUCUGAAAUGA
Molecule: ribosomal RNA, 684 nt
Filed under: Triticum aestivum (bread wheat)
Lineage: Eukaryota; Viridiplantae; Streptophyta; Magnoliopsida; Poales; Poaceae
Description: partial small subunit ribosomal RNA
Source: RNAcentral